RNAcentral lists this transfer RNA (70 nucleotides) under Phallusia mammillata. RNAcentral's name for it is "transfer RNA-Ser (AGY)". The record is from RNAcentral. Lineage: Eukaryota; Metazoa; Chordata; Ascidiacea; Phlebobranchia; Ascidiidae.
UGGGGGGUAGUAUAACUAUAGAUUACUUUAUUCUGCUAGAAUAAAAAUUCCCUUAACUGGGACUCUCCAG